UCUAGAGCUAAUACAUGCAGUUUGAGGGGGGUGUAACAGCCAACCUUAGCAUUUAUUAGAACAAAACCGACUACGAUGGUGAGGUCGAAAGCUUCGCCUCCGUAAGGUGAAUCUAGAUAACUUUGCAGAUCGUAUGGCCUCGAGCCGGCGACAUUUCAAUUGAAUUUCUGCCCUAUCAACUUGUUGGUAAGGUAGUGGCUUACCAAGGUUUCAACGGGUAACGGGGAAUCAGGGUUCGAUUCCGGAGAGGGAGCCUGAGAAAUGGCUACCACAUCCAAGGGCGGCAGCAGGCGCGCAAAUUACCCAAUCCAGAUUCUGGGAGGUGGUGAUGAGAAAUACUAGAUGGUUUCCCUAUGGGAUGCCAUACUGGAAUGGACGUAACUCAAGAAAUUCGAUGAGUAACAACUAGAGGGCAAGUCUGGUGCCAGCAGCCGCGGUAAUUCCAGCUCUAGUAGUGUAUCGUAAAGUUGCUGCGUUUAAAAAGCUCGUAGUUGGAUUACGCAGUAUGAAUUAGUAGAUUGGCGCUGGGGUACGCUUAAUCUGUUAGAUGAUUUGCUAUUGCGAGGUUAAUCCCGUAGUGGUGAGUUGUCUAAUAGAGUAUUCCGCGUCGAUUAACAGCUAGUUCAUGCUACUUAUACGUGAGAAUGGUGGUUGACCUUAAGUGCGUUGACCAUUGUGUCUUACGAGGUGUGCCUUGAAUAAAUCAGAGUGCUCAAAGCAGGCGAAAGCUUGAAUGUUAAUAGCAUGGAACGAACAAUUGUGAUUUUGCGCCUCUGAUCGGGGUAUUCGUGGAUUUAUGUCUGCGUUUAUUUCGGUUAGGGGUGCAGCACCAACCGCCAAUAACGGAUGUUGGUUUCCGUAUUGGGGUGAUGAUUAAAAGGAGCGGUUGGGGGCAUUGGUAUU
RNAcentral lists this ribosomal RNA (903 nucleotides) under Myxozoa sp. OUTC 1. RNAcentral describes it as "SSU rRNA". It matches the Rfam family "Eukaryotic small subunit ribosomal RNA", at positions 157 to 898 of the family's 1831-position model. The record is from RNAcentral. Lineage: Eukaryota; Metazoa; Cnidaria; Myxozoa.